AUUUUUUUAACUUUCUUGUAAAUAUUUUACUUCCAUGGUGUAAAGUUAAAACAACGUGGUUGUUGACAGUACAAAACAAUAUAUAAAACAAUAUGUUUUUUCGCAGUUUGAUAUAAAAAUAUUUUUUUUCUCUAUCAUACUUUAACAAGACGGUAAAGUAUCGAUGUCAGGUGCGGUGAUUGUGUAUGAAGACGGACGAGGGUGAUAUGUUUGCCCGUUAGAUCUCGUUGUAAGUUGUUUAAGAGGCUGGGACAUGAAUCAUUGAGCUUUUCAGCAGAAAAAUGAAAAAUAGAAGAAAAAAAAAUGUCUUCAAAUGGUGAUAUUUUCAUGCCUCCCUCGUGUAUAAGGCAAAAAAACAUAUUUUUUGUUGAAAUCCAUUUUUAUUGUGUGUAUUAGGACACUUAUACCUGGGACCCAUAUAUAACCAAUGACUGUUUUGUACUUUGACAUAUUAUGCACAUUUUACAUUGUAAUAAAUGCUUAAUAAUUAAAGAAAAUGUUUAUGCUUAAGUAAAAAGUUAAUAAAUCAAGGAAAAAAAUAUAGAAAUAAUAAUUAUAACAUAUAUGUCAAAGGAUAUUUGAGUGGUUUGUGUUAUUUAUUACCCCUUUUGAUCUAUAAUAAAACUAUAUAGACAAAUUAAUAAGUGCUAUAGCCGAAAUCUCCCAAUGUGCUUACGUAUUACACAGGCA
This 690-nucleotide long non-coding RNA is filed under the name Mytilus galloprovincialis (Mediterranean mussel). Lineage: Eukaryota; Metazoa; Mollusca; Bivalvia; Mytilida; Mytilidae. The record is from RNAcentral.